Molecule: ribosomal RNA, 596 nt
Filed under: uncultured Planctomycetota bacterium
Lineage: Bacteria; Pseudomonadati; Planctomycetota
Description: bacterial SSU rRNA
Rfam family: Bacterial small subunit ribosomal RNA
Source: RNAcentral
AGAGUUUGAUCAUGGCUCAGAAUGAACGCUGGCGGCAUGGCUAAGACAUGCAAGUCGAACGGACUAUUUUGAAGAGUAAUCGGAUUAAUAGUUAGUGGCGAAAGGGUGAGGAAUGGAUAGGUAACGUACCUCGGGCUCCGGAAUAGCUCAUCGAAAGGUGGGGUAAUGCCGGAUGAUGUCCUGUGUUUAAUACACGGGACCAAAGAUUUAUCGGCCCCUGAGCGGCCUAUUCCCUAUCAGCUUGUUGGUGAGGUAACGGCUCACCAAGGCUUCGACGGGUAGCGGGACUGAGAGGUUGACCCGCCACAUCGGAACUGACACACUGUCCGGACCUCCGCGGAGGGCUGCAGUAGCGAAUAUUGGGCAAUGGGCUAACGCCUGACCCAGCAAUGCCGCGUGUAGGAUGAAGCUUUUCGGAGUGUAAACUACUUUCAGGGAUUAGAAAGCUACGGUUGAUCAAUCCCAGAAGAAGUCACGGCUAACUUCGUGCCAGCAGCCGCGGUAAUACGAAGGUGGCAAGCGUUAUUCGAAAUCACUGGGCUUAAAGGGCGCGUAGGCGAUAUGUAAGUGUCAGGGUGAAUCCCUCGGGCUUAACC